UUGCCAUAUUGCAGUAAGCGAGACUUCACUGUGUGGUUAUUUUAAUAUUUUUAUAGUGGAAAUUCCUUUCAAUUUGCAUGGAUAACCUGGCUCAGUUUGAGAUCUCACUUGAACAAGACAAGAUCUCUAAAUGUUAGACAAGAUAGUUACUAACCUGACUGACUAAUGGUCAAAAUGAAGUCAAAACAACAAAAUUGGUCAUGAAAAUAUAGUGUCAAAACAAUAGAGAUGCAGAAUUUUCCAACAAUGCAUGAGUCCAUGCCACUGUUGUUUAACUGUUAAUGAAACUCAGUACCAAUUAAGCUGC
Molecule: non-coding RNA, 307 nt
Organism: Paramuricea clavata
Lineage: Eukaryota; Metazoa; Cnidaria; Anthozoa; Malacalcyonacea; Plexauridae
Source: the annotation of a GenBank genome assembly